CUCUUUCUCGAUUCAGUGGAUGGUGGUGCAUGGCCGUUCUUAGUUGGUGGAGYGAUCUGUCUGGUUAAUUCCGAUAACGAACNAGACUCUCCCCUGCUAACUAGUCGGUUGGAUCUUGAUCASCGGGUUGCGUGCCGAGUAACUCUCGCUGUGCGGGUGGUGCGUCUCGGGCCUCACGGUUCGUUGCGUGCUCUCGUGUGGCGUUGGAUGCCUUGGAUCACACUGCACCCCAAGUCCGCCGCUUAUGCUAUAACUCUUCUUAGAGGGAUUCACGGCACUGAAGCCGUAAGAGACUGAGAGCAAUAACAGGUCUGUGAUGCCCUUAGAUGCUCUGGGCCGCACGCGCGCUACAAUGCCGGGCACAGCAGGUGUUUCUCCUGCUCCGACAGGAGCGGGUAACCCUCUGAAAGCCAGUGUUCUUGCAAGUGAUUCCUCCCUCGUGGAGUUUCACAGAGGCGUGCUUGGGCCUGGGACUUGCAAUUCUUUCCCACCAACGAGGAAUGCCUAGUAGCGGCGGGUCACUGAGCCCGCUGUGACUCAGUCCCUGCCCWUUGUACACACCGCCCGUCGCUACUACCGAUUGGGUGUACCAGUGAGAGCCUUGGACUGGCGUCCGUUGUUGCUCGCAAGAGUGACAAGCGGGUCCGACGGAAAGAGGUCCGAACUGGUGCACUUAGAGGAAGUAAAAGUCGUAACAAGGUUUCCGUAGGUGAACCUGCG
RNAcentral lists this ribosomal RNA (720 nucleotides) under Carinogammarus sp. 1 KSM-2005. RNAcentral describes it as "bacterial SSU rRNA". It matches the Rfam family "Eukaryotic small subunit ribosomal RNA". Lineage: Eukaryota; Metazoa; Arthropoda; Malacostraca; Amphipoda; Acanthogammaridae. The record is from RNAcentral.